RNAcentral lists this ribosomal RNA (253 nucleotides) under uncultured bacterium. RNAcentral's name for it is "partial 16S ribosomal RNA". It matches the Rfam family "Bacterial small subunit ribosomal RNA", at positions 524 to 776 of the family's 1533-position model. The record is from RNAcentral.
UACGUAGGUGGCAAGCGUUAUCCGGAUUUAUUGGGCGUAAAGGGAACGCAGGCGGUCUUUUAAGUCUGAUGUGAAAGCCUUCGGCUUAACCGGAGUAGUGCAUUGGAAACUGGGAGACUUGAGUGCAGUAGAGGAGAGUGGAACUCCAUGUGUAGCGGUGAAAUGCGUAGAUAUAUGGAAGAACACCAGUGGCGAAAGCGGCUCUCUGGUCUGUAACUGACGCUGAGGUUCGAAAGCGUGGGUAGCAAACAGG